GAUGAAGAACGUAGCGAAAUGCGAUAAGUAAUGUGAAUUGCAGAAUUCAGUGAAUCAUCGAAUCUUUGAACGCACAUUGCGCCCGCCAGAAUACUGGCGGGCAUGCCUGUUCGAGCGUCAUUUCAACCCUCAAGCCCAGCUUGGUGUUGGGGAUCGGCACAGGCGCCCUCGGGCGCCCGCCGUCCCCUAAAUCUAGUGGCGGUCCCGCUGUAGCCUCCUCUGCGUAGUAGUUUUCUCCUCGCAAGGGCAGCUCGGUGGCGACCUCGCCGUAAAACCCCCAACUUCUGAAAGGUUGACCUCGAAUCAGGUAGGAAUACCCGCUGAACUUAAGCAUAUCAAUAAGCGGAGGA
RNAcentral lists this unclassified non-coding RNA (350 nucleotides) under soil metagenome. Its description in RNAcentral is "partial contains 5.8S ribosomal RNA, internal transcribed spacer 2, and large subunit ribosomal RNA". The stretch from base 1 to 120 matches the Rfam family "5.8S ribosomal RNA", at positions 35 to 154 of the family's 154-position model. The record is from RNAcentral.